RNAcentral lists this ribosomal RNA (429 nucleotides) under bacterium. Its description in RNAcentral is "partial 16S ribosomal RNA". It matches the Rfam family "Bacterial small subunit ribosomal RNA", at positions 355 to 776 of the family's 1533-position model. The record is from RNAcentral.
UAGGGAAUCUUCGGCAAUGGGGGCAACCCUGACCGAGCAACGCCGCGUGAGUGAAGAAGGUUUUCGGAUCGUAAAGCUCUGUUGUAAGAGAAGAACGUGUGUGAGAGUGGAAAGUUCACACAGUGACGGUAACUUACCAGAAAGGGACGGCUAACUACGUGCCAGCAGCCGCGGUAAUACGUAGGUCCCGAGCGUUGUCCGGAUUUAUUGGGCGUAAAGCGAGCGCAGGCGGUUUAAUAAGUCUGAAGUUAAAGGCAGUGGCUUAACCAUUGUUCGCUUUGGAAACUGUUAAACUUGAGUGCAGAAGGGGAGAGUGGAAUUCCAUGUGUAGCGGUGAAAUGCGUAGAUAUAUGGAGGAACACCGGAGGCGAAAGCGGCUCUCUGGUCUGUAACUGACGCUGAGGCUCGAAAGCGUGGGGAGCAAACAGG